GGGGAUGUAGCUCUGUGGUGCAGCGCCUGCCUGGGAAGCAGGAGGCCCUGAGUUCAAUUCUUGGUACCA
RNAcentral lists this transfer RNA (69 nucleotides) under Heterocephalus glaber (naked mole-rat). It matches the Rfam family "tRNA". Rfam says of the family: Transfer RNA (tRNA) molecules are approximately 80 nucleotides in length. Their secondary structure includes four short double-helical elements and three loops (D, anti-codon, and T loops). Lineage: Eukaryota; Metazoa; Chordata; Mammalia; Rodentia; Bathyergidae. The record is from Rfam by way of RNAcentral.